RNAcentral lists this ribosomal RNA (367 nucleotides) under Neisseria meningitidis. Its description in RNAcentral is "bacterial SSU rRNA". It matches the Rfam family "Bacterial small subunit ribosomal RNA", at positions 1107 to 1475 of the family's 1533-position model. The record is from RNAcentral. Lineage: Bacteria; Pseudomonadati; Pseudomonadota; Betaproteobacteria; Neisseriales; Neisseriaceae.
GUCAUUAGUUGCCAUCAUUCAGUUGGGCACUCUAAUGAGACUGCCGGUGACAAGCCGGAGGAAGGUGGGGAUGACGUCAAGUCCUCAUGGCCCUUAUGACCAGGGCUUCACACGUCAUACAAUGGUCGGUACAGAGGGUAGCCAAGCCGCGAGGCGGAGCCAAUCUCACAAAACCGAUCGUAGUCCGGAUUGCACUCUGCAACUCGAGUGCAUGAAGUCGGAAUCGCUAGUAAUCGCAGGUCAGCAUACUGCGGUGAAUACGUUCCCGGGUCUUGUACACACCGCCCGUCACACCAUGGGAGUGGGGGAUACCAGAAGUAGGUAGGGUAACCGCAAGGAGCCCGCUUACCACGGUAUGCUUCAUGAC